Small nuclear RNA from Mastomys coucha (southern multimammate mouse), 160 nucleotides. RefSeq annotates it as U1 spliceosomal RNA. Lineage: Eukaryota; Metazoa; Chordata; Mammalia; Rodentia; Muridae. The transcript has a single exon. The record is from RefSeq and is a predicted model, not a curated record.
UGAUUCUCCUGGCAGGGAGAUAGCAUGAUCACAGAGGUUUUCCCAGGAGAGGCUUAUCCAUUGCACUCCGGAGGUGCUGACCCCUGCCAUUUCCCCAAAUGCGGGGAAACUCCACUGCAUAAUUUGUGGUAGUCGGGGACUGCAUUCUCGGUCUCCCCUA